UACAGUCUUCGUCGCAAAUCCUUCACCCAGCGGCAGACGGCAGACUCUACUUCAAGCCGGUAGCCAUCGAUUUCCCCAAGACGUGGCCAGAGAGGAUCACAGCCCGACCCCAACUGCCGAACUAUUUCGCCAAUUGCGACGUUCCGCGUCGACAACCCUGCAUCGGUCGUAAGACGUGGACUUGCUGAACUUGUCAAAACGCAGGCGCUGCUACAGUCUUCGUCGCAAAUCCUUCACCCAGCGGCAAACGGUCGAGUCUACUUCAAGUCGGUAGCCAUCGACUUCCCCAAGACGUGGCCAGAGAGGAUCACAGCCCGACCCCUGCAGCCGAACUAUUUCGCCAAUUGCGACGUUCCGCAUCGACAACCCUGCAUCGGUCGUAAGAUGUGGACUUCCUGAACCUAUCAACACGCAGGAAACGGGAACAUGGCUAAGCUGCCUGUAUAUCGACCAUGGCUAAGCUGCCUGUAUAUCGACCAUGGCUAAGCUACCUGUAUAUCGACCGCACCCCUUUGCUACUGCUCAACGUCACCGCUCGGGAAAUUGACACGUCGGACGGUAGCUACGAGAACCUGUUGAUCGCCCGCCGCGCCAACCAACCAAGUGAUGUCUUCGUGCAAAACAUCCAGGCAUGAAUGAAAACUCAGUUUCAUUGUAACAUUAUGUUCUAACAGACGCAUACAUUGUAGACGUGUUGACGACCUCCGGUGUAUUGUAACGGUUUGAAUUGACUGUAGUAUUUGGCUGCCAUCUUGUUCGCGAGUAUGAGUUAUCGAGUGUGGCCUGUUCAUGUUUGCCUAUGCGUGCUGACACCGUGCUUCUUAAUUUAGUUAGUAAGCGAACGUUUCCAAGGCUAUAACGGCGAUAAAACUACUAUCCGUACUUCCAUUGCUGUCUUCUAAUUUGCUAUCGAAAUCGAUGCUUCGCCUUUCGGGGGACCUUUUUA
Molecule: long non-coding RNA, 946 nt
Organism: Dermacentor andersoni
Lineage: Eukaryota; Metazoa; Arthropoda; Arachnida; Ixodida; Ixodidae
Source: RefSeq, a predicted model, not a curated record